AAUGAAUCAAACGUUCCGAUGCUGCAUGUUUGAUUAUUAUUCCCUCAACUCACUCGACGCUAUAGCAGCAUCAAGUGCAGGUGAUUCAAGACGAUGACAGAUUUUUGACCUUCUCUGAGGCCUGAACCCAGAGCAGCCUUUUCUCCUUUGUUCCAGGUUUACACGUGUUGCUUAACAAAAGUCAGACUUGGACAGCUUGACUGCAAUUAUAAUGCUACAGUUUAUGAACCCGAGGGCAGUCCAGUCCAAAUAAAGCACAAAAUGCACUCUACCAAUGGGAUAGCGGGAAUAUAACUCAGGCCGUGACAUGGGACAAAAGCAGUGUUUCUGUUUAUUUGCAUUUUGGACACAAUGUGCACGGCAGCAUAAUUGCAGAGGAUGGUCUCAGAGGUGGUCCGACUCGAUCUGAGAUGAAGGUAGAGCUGAUUUUAGUGGGUUGGUGAUAUUUGCUAAACCUCUGCUGUUUACCGUAGUAAUUAAGCCAUUUCUGAGCAGUGGGUCUCAAAGUACAGGCCUCAUGUCCCUGCGUGUCAGUUUCACAAUAACAUUCAGCCCGACCCGAGCCGGCUGAUAGCGUGAGAACUUCAGAUAUACGUAAGUGUGUGUGUGUGUGAGAGCGAAACGGAGGACAUGUGUUGUUGUGAGUGUGUUUGUGUGUGGGAUGGUGAGCUGGGUUGGGCCUGUAUGGAAGUAUUACGACUUAGCAUGUUUGGUUUUCUCAUUCUGGCAAUGAACGGCAUGUUAUUUAUCUUAUUGUACCAUAACCAUGGCCAAAAACAGAAGGGAACUUACUGAUUUCUGACUCUUGACCUUGUGAGACUUCACUGAAAAUCUGCCAGGCUGUCUGAAUCAAAAGAUUAUCAAUCUGUGGCAGUUUGACUUGAGAUUUACAGGUUAUGGACUGAAGUAAAACCUUGUGGUUUGAUAAGCCUACACUGAGAGAGAGAGAGAGAGAGAGAGAGAGGGGAAAAAAACAAAAACAAAGUACAUUCACACACUGAUUUUAGUAAAAUCCACUGUCUAAGUUAAGUGCAAUAACCAAGUAUAUACUUUUGAUUUUGCUCAUUUUAAUUCAAGUUUUUACACUAUAGUAAGCAUUAUCAUAGCUAUGUUUAUUGAAUGAAGCAAAAAACACUAGUCAUCAUACAACCAUCCUUCAGCUCAACCACAAGCUCUGCUCUUCAGCACAAUGCUAACCACAAAAACAUCAACAACACAAAUGUCCAACAUUAAACACUAAGAGGCCUUUGCCCUUACACAAAAACGCAUAAAAUAACACUCAGUUUCAACAUUUACUCUCCCAAUUCAGUUCUACAUAAAGGUUUAAGUUCAGUGUUUCAGGUAAUGCAACAGAAAUUAAUUGAGUUAACUUCAGUGUUAUGUAUUUGAGUAGAUUAAAUGUAUAUUGCAUGUGAUUUAAAUAUUAAGCAAUUGUGUUGCUACAGCUCAUUUUAAUUAACAAAUUUUGU
Long non-coding RNA from Cyprinus carpio carpio, 1469 nucleotides. NCBI's taxonomy places the organism in Eukaryota, Metazoa, Chordata, Actinopteri, Cypriniformes, Cyprinidae. The record is from Ensembl.